UCCCAUUUCUUUAAGAAAGUAAGAUCCCUGAGAGAUGAUCAGGUAGAUAGGUCAGGAGUGGAAGUACAGUGAUGUAUGGAGCGGACUGAUACUAAUCGAUCGAGGACUUAACCAAU
This 116-nucleotide ribosomal RNA is filed under the name Enterococcus faecium. RNAcentral's name for it is "partial 23S ribosomal RNA". It matches the Rfam family "Bacterial large subunit ribosomal RNA", at positions 2812 to 2925 of the family's 2925-position model. The record is from RNAcentral. Lineage: Bacteria; Bacillati; Bacillota; Bacilli; Lactobacillales; Enterococcaceae.